UACGAAGGGGGCUAGCGUUGCUCGGAAUAACUGGGCGUAAAGCGCACGUAGGUGGGUCGUUAAGUCGGGGGUGAAAUCCCAGAGCUCAACUCUGGAACUGCCUUCGAUACUGGCGACCUUCGAGUUCGGGAGAGGUGAGUGGAACUGCGAGUGUAGAGGUGAAAUUCGUAGAUAUUCGCAAGAACACCAGUGGCGAAGGCGGCUCACUGGCCCGAUACUGACACUGAGGUGCGAAAGCGUGGGGAGCAAA
RNAcentral lists this ribosomal RNA (250 nucleotides) under uncultured bacterium. Its description in RNAcentral is "partial 16S ribosomal RNA". It matches the Rfam family "Bacterial small subunit ribosomal RNA", at positions 524 to 772 of the family's 1533-position model. The record is from RNAcentral.